UAGCGCGGGGCACGAGAAAUCUUGCGUGAAUUAGCGGGGCCCAUCCCGUAAGGCUAAAUACUCCCGAGAGACCGAUAGCGAACCAGUACCGUGAGGGAAAGGUGAAAAGAACCCCGAGCAGGGGAGUGAAAUAGACCCUGAACCCGUCUGCCUACAAGCGGUCGGAGCGUCGUAAUGACGUGACGGCGUGCCUUUUGCAUAAUGAACCUACGAGUUACCUUCCCCGGCAAGGUUAAGUACCUAAGGUACGGAGCCGAAGCGAAAGCGAGUCUGAACAGGGCGCCAAGUCGGGGGGGGUAGACGCGAAACCGAGUGAUCUACCCUUGGCCAGGUUGAAGGUUGGGUAACACCAACUGGAGGACCGGAUGGGUAAGCGUUGAAAAGCUUUCCAAUGAGCUGAGGGUAGGGGUGAAAGGCUAAUCAAACUCGGAGAUAGCUCGUACUCCCCGAAAUGCAUUUAGGUGCAGCCUCUUUAUAGUAUAUCGUGAGGUAGAGCGACUGAUUGGAUGCGAGGGCUUCACCGCCUAUCAAGUCCAGAUAAACUCCGAAUGCGCGAUAUAUAUUUACAGGGAGUGAGGGCGCGGGUGCUAAGGUCCGUGUCCGAGAGGAGAAGAAUCCAGACCACCGGCUAAGGCCCCCAAAUGAUCGUUAAGUUGAACUAACGAGGUCGGAUCGCAGAGACAGCUAGGAUGUUGGCUUGGAAGCAGCCAUUCAUUUAAAGAGUGCGUAACAGCUCACUAGUCGAGCGAUCUGGCGUGGAUAAUAAUCGGGCAUAAACGAUCUGCCGAAGCCGUGGAUGUCGCAAGACAUGGUAGGGGAGCAUUCCAUGCGGCGUCGAAGAUGAGGGAUGACCCUUGUUGGAGCGCAUGGAAAAGCAAAUGUAGGUAUGAGUAACGAUAAGGGGGGCGAGAAACCCCCCCGCCGAAAGACCAAGGUUUCCUGAUCAACGCUAAUCGGAUCAGGGUGAGUCGGGACCUAAGGCAAAGCCGAACGGCGCCGCCGAUGGAAGAAUGGGUUAAUAUUCCCAUACUGCCUCAUGGAGUGACGUGGAGACGGAGAAGUGACAGUCCUGCCGGCUGACGGAAUAGCCGGUUGAAGGGUGUAGAUAUUGAUUCCCGUAGGCAAAUCCGCGGGGAGAGUCGAACCUGAGAGUAUACGGAGCGCUUGCGCGACGUAAUAUGGACGUAACCAUGCUCCCGAGAAAAUCCGCUAAACUUAUCCAUGCGGCACCCGUACCGUAAACGGACACACGUGGUCGGGUUGAGAAUACUGAGGCGCUCGAGUGAUUCACGGUUAAGGAACUAGGCAAAUUGACCCUGUAACUUCGGGAUAAAGGGUCCUCGUCGUAAGGCGAGGCGCAGAGAAUAGGUCCAGGCAACUGUUUAACAAAAACACAUGGCUGUGCUAAAUGGAAACAUGACGUAUACAGCCUGACACCUGCCCGGUGCCGGAAGGUUAAGAGGAGAUGUCAUCCACGAGGAGAAGCGUUGAAU
Molecule: ribosomal RNA, 1493 nt
Filed under: Salmonella enterica subsp. enterica serovar Ajiobo
Lineage: Bacteria; Pseudomonadati; Pseudomonadota; Gammaproteobacteria; Enterobacterales; Enterobacteriaceae
Description: partial 23S ribosomal RNA
Rfam family: Bacterial large subunit ribosomal RNA
Source: RNAcentral